CAGCCGAGCACCGUAGCGGGUGCCUGUUGCUCCAGCUUGGGAGGGCUAAAGAGUUGGUUGGAGGGCGAGUUUGCUCGAGCCCAUGUCAAUGCCGGCCCACCGAAAGGCAUGUGGUGCGCAGUCCCCGCCCGGACGUCAGAGAAAAAGGUGCCAGCGCGGCGCAGAGAAAAGAAGAAACAGAGCCCACAGCUGCUGUUGUUGUGAGGUGCUGCGGGUCCUGGGCCCGGCGCCAAGGUGCGCUGUCCGUCGUUGUUGGGUGCAGCCCUGUGUAGGCCACAAGGAGUUGUGAGCCGGGCUGACCUGUGUUGAAGAGGCCCGUUAGGAAGAACGGGUGCUCUUGUUGGGCCGUUGUCACUGCGAGGAGGCAGUCCGGCCGGUCGACGAGAAAAGCACUUGGGCCGUUGUUGAAGGAGGCAGACCAAGACCACAUCAGAGGUGUUGGUGGUGCGCGCGCGCGCACGUAGUUGGGCCAUCGCCGGAGGGGGAUAUUGCCCUCCGGCGGGUCGUCGCUGUGGUAAAAAGUUGUUCGAUGCUCUGGGGGGAUUCGUCGUGGGCUGCUGAAUAGGGGGUGUGGCAUUGGCCCGGGAGGCCGGCAAAUGCCGGCGGGUUAAUUGGGUCCGGGGGUUCGCCCCUCGGCCCGAAGCCCCUUGAUCUCGCCGAGCUGGGCUUCCACGGAGUUAGAGCGGCAAAGGGGUUGAGCCAACCCUCAGUCCGAGGGUUGUCGCCGGGCUGUGCGCGCCACACGCGCAGCCCGCUUCGUGGAGCGUGGGCUCGCAAACUAUAUCCCCUCCUACCAACUCUUUUGUUCUUCUGUUUUUUUUUUCUGAAAAGGAUAUAAUUCUGAACAGUGGCUUCUAUUUUCUUUGGUACUGCUUUGUACUGUAUGUGAAUUAGAUCACUAUUGGUUUACAAUAAACAAGUUAGUACUCCUUCAAAAGAGGCUGAUCAUUGCCGUUGAUGGGCCGGCCUCAUCAGCAAUAGCUGGCGGGGGUCCUGUGUUUGUUGGCCGUUGUGACAUGGUGCAUAACUAGUUUGUUGCAGUGCAAGUACGAACCAUGCGGACAGCCGAGAAGCGAGAGCUUCAUCAGGUGCCACUAGUGUCUGAUGGCAUUAAGGGGUUGGUGCGAUAAUCUCCCAUUUCACCAAGUUAGGUACGAUAAUGUCUCAUUUCACCAAGUUAAAUAAAAUAUAUAAAAUUUUAGCUAAGAAAUACACUUAUAACUGAAUUGACACUAGCUAAGCUAUGACAGUUGCAGGCAUUGGUAAGCUACCGUAGUUCUAUCGAGUCCUCUUCUCUGUUCAGCCUCCAAGCCACAUUUUUGGUCGUAUAUAUACAGUCAGUAUAUGUACUGUCAGUGCACAACAGCCAGUAGGCAGGUACAAAAAGAGCCGUGAGCGACAUGCCCACAAGAAGAUUAGCGAAAGCGCGCGCAGACUAAAUGCAUUCUCGCACUCUGUCUCUGCAAACCAAGCGCUCCGUUUUAGUCCCAUACCGCUAGUCACAUUCUGAGCAACCCAGCUUAAGAAGCCACACCUCCCCGGGGGCAGCCGCCGAGCUCGGUCGCGCGAGCCUGUCACUCUAGUCAGCUGGAGGGCUAAAGAGUUGGUGUGGUGAAAUGGCUCUGGCCCCGGCCCAAAAACGGGUUCGGCCUCUGCCUGGGUUGUGAGUUCUUGAGCCUAGGAAAUUGGCGAGGUCCAUCCGUCCUUUGAACGGUAGGGCAAAGCCGAAUCGUUGGACGCUUCGGCAUAAGAGAACGGUCGGCCCAACGGGGUUGCCGGAGCCCAAGCUGCGUCUCGUCAUGUGUCCAUCCGGGUGGUCAAGGGAGGCAACAACCCACUCCCUGAUCUUUCCCAUUAAGGUAAUCGGGACUCGCAUGGACACUCCCUGGCUCACUCACUAACCCCUCCCAUCAACUCUUUUCC
This 1923-nucleotide long non-coding RNA is filed under the name Sorghum bicolor (sorghum). RNAcentral's name for it is "long non-coding RNA (SBIC_LNC007271)". Lineage: Eukaryota; Viridiplantae; Streptophyta; Magnoliopsida; Poales; Poaceae. The record is from RNAcentral.